This 392-nucleotide long non-coding RNA is filed under the name Homo sapiens (human). Its description in RNAcentral is "long non-coding RNA NONHSAT228563". Lineage: Eukaryota; Metazoa; Chordata; Mammalia; Primates; Hominidae. The record is from RNAcentral.
UUCUAAAGAAGAGCUUUAAUUUCAUCUGUCCCAGCUCUCCAUAUGUGGAAGAGUUAUUUCCAAGAGGUGUGCAGAGCACUGCGUUGAUGACACCGGGCUUCAAAAUUCCACUCCCACCUGUCAAAACCGAACUUUCCAAAGGUUGGUUCAUCCACCGUGCAACCCCAGGUGGAAAUUUCAGAGAAUGCCUGGCAGGUAGUUAAUCUAAACUGGCAUGUUCCCCAAGUCUUCAGCAUUUAGUGAUUCCAAACUCUGGCACUCUGGCACACACACGAAACAUCCAGCUACAGUAGCAUUUCGAGGGAAGCCUGACACAGUGCUUGGAUCUUUCUGUCUGUCCCCACUUCAAAACAAAUAAAAGCAAAACAACAACAGUAACAACAACAAAGCAA